GACUACGGCCAUAUCACGAUGAAUGCACCUCAUCCCGUCUGAUUUGAGAAGUUAAGCAUCGUCGAGCCACAUCAGUACUGAGGUUGGAGACAACUUGGGAACCUGUGGUGCUGUAGUCU
Naegleria gruberi is the source of this 119-nucleotide ribosomal RNA. NCBI's taxonomy places the organism in Eukaryota, Heterolobosea, Eutetramitea, Acrasida, Naegleriidae. The record is from Rfam.